UACAUGGGGUGCAAACGUUGCUCGGAAUUAUUGGGCGUAAAGCGCACGUAGGCGGUUCGUUAAGUCGGAUGUGAAAGCCCUCGGCUCAACUGAGGAAGUGCACCCGAAACUGGCGAGCUUGAGUACGAAAGAGGAUCGCGGAAUUCCCGGUGUAGAGGUGAAAUUCGUAGAUAUCGGGAGGAACACCGGUGGCGAAGGCGACCCUCUGGACGGACACUGACGCUGAGACGCGAAAGCGUGGGUAGCAAACAGG
This 253-nucleotide ribosomal RNA is filed under the name uncultured bacterium. RNAcentral's name for it is "partial 16S ribosomal RNA". It matches the Rfam family "Bacterial small subunit ribosomal RNA", at positions 524 to 776 of the family's 1533-position model. The record is from RNAcentral.